RNA transcript from Hordeum vulgare subsp. vulgare (domesticated barley), 2925 nucleotides. It is a transcript of the gene named ATP-dependent RNA helicase SUV3L, mitochondrial, with no coding region annotated. The record is from RefSeq and is a predicted model, not a curated record. The transcript is spliced from 3 exons. NCBI's taxonomy places the organism in Eukaryota, Viridiplantae, Streptophyta, Magnoliopsida, Poales, Poaceae.
CCGCUCCGAGCCCACUUUGGCCCACGAUCCCGACCAGGGCCGCCCGCCUAUCGCGCGCCGCCUCCCCCUCUUCCCUUCUUCCACCCCAUGCCGCCGGCCGCCGCCGUCUCGUAACCCAAACCGACCCAUGGCCGCCGCCAUCGCUGCCUCGCUUAUCCGCCGCACCACCUCGUCGCCGUACCGCCGCCUUCUCCUGCCCACGUUCUCCCACCUCCACCGCCCUGCCCCCCAACCUCCAUCUCCAUGGCUCCCAUCCCAAAAUCGCUUCCUCUCGUCCGACGCAACCGCGGACCCUGAUCGGAAGCUGCCUCCGCUUGACCCGAAGCAGCUAUGGCGCGAGCUCUCCACCGCCGAGCCUGCGACGGGCUCGUCGCGCCUCCCGAAGGCCACGUGGGACGACGUGGUGGCCCUCACCCGCCGCUUCGCCAAGGAUCCCGCCAUUGCCGACCAGGUCCUCGCGCUCUACAUCCCCUCCUCAGAGUUUCCCACGUACGCUCGGCACUUCCGCCACUUCAUGCCUGAGCGCCUCUCCCAAGAAUCCGCCGAGCGGCUCCUUUCUCUCCCGGGCGAGGACGCGCACGCCCUCCUCCUCCCAGCCUUCGCCGAGUACUGUCUCAACUAUCAUGCGGAUAAGCUGAGGCAGAACAAGUCCGUCAUGGCUGCGGCCGACCUCACGGCGCCGCACACCUGGUACCCGUUCGCCCGCGCCAUGCGCCGGCGGGUGGUGUACCAUUGCGGGCCCACCAACAGCGGCAAGACGCACAACGCACUCGCACGCUUCAGCGCCGCCAAGUCCGGUGUGUACUGCAGCCCGCUCCGGCUCCUUGCCAUGGAAGUGUUCGACAAGGUCAAUGCACUCGGUGUCUACUGCACCCUCCGCACUGGCCAGGAAGUAAAGGAAGUUCCCUUCUCCAACCAUGUUGCUUGCACUAUUGAGAUGCUGUCCACGGAGGAGCUCUACGAAGUCGCCGUGGUUGAUGAGAUACAGAUGAUGGGUGACUCUGUCAGGGGCUAUGCAUGGACACGUGCUGUUCUUGGGAUCAAGGCAGAUGAGAUACAUCUCUGUGGUGACCCUAGUGUGCUCAAGAUUGUUCGUAAGAUAUGUGCAGAUACUGGAGAUGAUUUGGAGGUGCAUCAGUAUGAGCGGUUCAAGCCACUUGUUGUCGAGGCGAAGUCGCUACUUGGAGACCUCAAGAAUGUUCGCUCUGGUGAUUGCAUUGUUGCCUUCUCACGCAGAGAGAUAUUUGAGGUGAAGCUGGCAAUUGAGAAGUUUACGAAGCACAAGUGUUGCGUCAUAUAUGGAGCCUUGCCACCGGAGACAAGGCGCCAGCAAGCAAAAUUGUUCAACGAACAGGAUAAUGAGUAUGAUGUGCUUGUAGCGAGUGAUGCGGUCGGUAUGGGUCUGAACCUUAACAUUAGGAGGGUUGUGUUCUAUAGCCUGUCCAAGUACAACGGGGACAGGAUGGUACCUGUUGCUGCUUCACAGGUAAAACAGAUAGCUGGGCGUGCUGGUCGGAGGGGAAGUGUUUAUCCAGAUGGACUCACAACCACUUUCUUGUUGGAUGAUUUGGAUUAUUUAAUUCAGUGCCUGCAACAGCCGUUUGAGGAGGCACAAAAAAUUGGUCUUUUUCCUUGCUUCGAACAAGUGGAAAUGUUUGCCAGUCAGUUCCCCAAUCUCACUUUCACUGACUUGUUGGAUAAGUUCCGUGACAAUUGCCGCAUCGACAAGACAUACUUCAUGUGCCAGCAGGAUGGUAUCAAGAAGGUUGCUAAUAUGCUCGAGAGGGUCCAGGGUCUCUCCCUCAAGGAUCGCUACAAUUUUUGUUUCGCACCAGUUAAUAUAAGGGAUCCGAAAGCCAUGUACCAUCUUCUGAGAUUUGCUACUCAUUACAGCCAGAUCCGUCGUGUUAGCAUUGCCAUGGGAAUGCCAAAGGGUUCGGCAAGGAAUGACACUGAACUGCUGGAUCUCGAGACGAAGCACCAGGUCCUGUCGAUGUAUUUGUGGCUGUCACACCAUUUUGAAGAAGAUAACUUUCCUCAUGUGCAGAAAGCUGAGGAAAUGGCAACGAACAUUGCUGAUUUGCUUGGCAAGUCACUUGCCAAGGCAUCGUGGAAGCCUGAAUCAAGACAACAAACAAAGCAGAGGCGAGAAGAAAAAGAGGAGAGUGACAGCAAUGCUGAACAGGUGUCAGAUGACGAUGCAAAGAAUGUUUCCAAAGUUGGUUAUGAAAGGACGAGGCCGCUUCCUAAAACAUUUCCAAGUUAAGUUAUACUAUGGAAUUUAUUUGGCUUCACUUUGGGUCAGAAGAAACAUGAGAGAACACUAUGCUUUAAUUCCAUACGACCGCUGGCAAGUGAGUUUGUGAACUCUAGGACAAGACAUGGUCAGCCCAGCCAUAAUUCUUCUUUGAAUCUUCUGGCAUGAUUGUUGGGUUGGCUAUAACCAAUUGAGUGCUAGAGAAGAAUCUGUUGAGCCAAGUUGCGACGCCUCUUCAACCCCCAAAUCUGGUGCUUACCUACAGCAUGUCACAACCAUUGCUAUUCUUCCAGUUUUGGCGCCAGAGGUGUGUCAUGACAUUUGCAUCAACUGGCGGCUAUUUUAUUGGCCCCAGAAGAGAUAGCUGCUGAUAAUGAUGUUGUGCAAUGCUAGAUUGCACACUGAAUGAGGAUCUUUAAGUUAUGAGAAACAAACUAGUUUUCCGUUGACAUGCUACACCAGCAUGCGGGUAAUAAGCAAAUGUGGAGAUUUACAAGGUAUUGGUUGCUCCUCUAAGAUGUCUUAGAUGAUUUAGUGUGUUUGUCAAACUUGACUGUAAUAUUUAGAGAGGGAUAGCAGAGAUGUAUUAUAUGCCACUUUCAGGAUGUUGGAGCUUUCUGGUGCCCUCCUCGGAUGUCAGAUGCUAAGUAGACAAAAUGUGUAACUUA